GGGAGAGAGAAGGGGAGAGAGAGAAAGGAGAGAGAGAGAGAGAGAGAGGGAGAAGGGAAGAGAGAGAAAGAUGGAGAGAGAGAGAAGGGGAGGGAGAGAAAGUGAGAGAGAGAAAGAUGGAGGGAGAGAGAAGGGGAGAGAGAAAGAUGGAGGGAGAGAGAAAGGUGGAGAGAGAGAAAGGUGGAGGGGGAGAGAAGGAGAGAGAGAGAAAGGUGGAGAGAGAGAGAAGGGGAGAUAGAGAAAGGAGAGAGAGAUAGAAGGGGAGAGAAAUAUGGAGGGAGAGAGAAGGGGAGAUAGAGAAAGGUGGAGAGAGAGAAAAGGGGAGACAGAGAAAGGUGGAGGGAGAGAAAGGUGGAGGGAUAGAGAAAGAUGGAGGGGGAGAGAGAGAAGGGGAGAGAGAGAAAGAUGUAGAGAGAGAGAAGGGGAGAGAGAGAAAGGGAGAGAGAAAAAGUUGGAGAGAGAGAGAAGGGGAGAGAGAAAGAGAAGGGGAGAGAGAGAAAGGUGGAGGGAAAGAGAAGGGGAGAGAGAGAGAAAAGGUGGAGGGAGAGAGAGAAUGGUGGAGGGAGAGAGAGGCAUAGAGAGAGAGAAGGGGAGAGAGAGAAAGAUGGAGGGAGAGAGAAGAGGAGAGAGAAAGAUGGAGGGAGAGAGAGAAAGGUGGAGGGAGAGAGAAGGGGAGAUAGAGAAAGAUGGAGGGAGAGAGAAGGGGAGAGAGAAAGAUGGAGGGAGAGAGAGAAAGGUGGAGGGAGAGAGAAGGGGAGAGAGAGAAAUUGGAGAGAGAGAGAGAGAGAGAGGGAGAAGGGAAGAGAGAGAAAGAUGGAGAGAGAGAGAAGGGGAGGGAGAGAAAGUGAGAGAGAGAAAGAUGGAGGGAGAGAGAAGGUCAAAGAGAAAGAUGGAGGGAGAGAGAAAGGUGGAGAGAGAGAAAGGUGGAGAGAGAGAAAGGUGGAGAGAGAGAGAAUGGGAGAGAGAGAAAGGUGGAGAGAGAUAGAAGGGGAGAGAAAGAUGGAGGGAGAGAGAAGGGGAGAUAGAGAAAGGUGGAUGGAGAGAAGGGGAGAGAGAGAAAGAUGGGGGAGAGAGAGAAAGAUGGAGGGAGAGAGAAGGGGAGAGAGAGAGAAAAAGGUGGAGGGAGAGAGAGAAUGGUGGAGGGAGAGAGAGGCAUAGAGAGAGAGAAGGGGAGAGAGAGAAAGGGAGAGAGAAAAAGUUGGAGGGAGAGAG
Long non-coding RNA from Oncorhynchus tshawytscha (Chinook salmon), 1212 nucleotides. The record is from Ensembl. NCBI's taxonomy places the organism in Eukaryota, Metazoa, Chordata, Actinopteri, Salmoniformes, Salmonidae.